Molecule: ribosomal RNA, 447 nt
Filed under: uncultured bacterium
Lineage: Bacteria
Description: bacterial SSU rRNA
Rfam family: Bacterial small subunit ribosomal RNA
Source: RNAcentral
CCCAGACUCCUACGGGAGGCAGCAGUGGGGAAUAUUGGACAAUGGGGGGAACCCUGAUCCAGCGACGCCGCGUGAGUGAAGAAGUAUUUCGGUAUGUAAAGCUCUAUCAGCAGGGAAGAAGAAAUGACGGUACCUGACUAAGAAGCCCCGGCUAACUACGUGCCAGCAGCCGCGGUAAUACGUAGGGGGCAAGCGUUAUCCGGAUUUACUGGGUGUAAAGGGAGCGUAGACGGUGCAGCAAGUCUGGAGUGAAAGGCAGGGGCCCAACCCCUGGACUGCUCUGGAAACUGUGUAACUGGAGUGCAGGAGAGGUAAGUGGAAUUCCUAGUGUAGCGGUGAAAUGCGUAGAUAUUAGGAGGAACACCAGUGGCGAAGGCGGCUUACUGGACUGUAACUGACGUUGAGGCUCGAAAGCGUGGGGAGCAAACAGGAUUAGAUACCCUCGUA